RNAcentral lists this ribosomal RNA (508 nucleotides) under uncultured Alphaproteobacteria bacterium. RNAcentral's name for it is "bacterial SSU rRNA". It matches the Rfam family "Bacterial small subunit ribosomal RNA", at positions 38 to 592 of the family's 1533-position model. The record is from RNAcentral. Lineage: Bacteria; Pseudomonadati; Pseudomonadota; Alphaproteobacteria.
GGCGGCAUGCCUAACACAUGCAAGUCGAACGAAGCCUUCGGGCUUAGUGGCGCACGGGUGCGUAACGCGUGGGAAUCUACCCUUAGGUUCGGAAUAACAGUUGGAAACGACUGCUAAUACCGGAUGAUGACGUAAGUCCAAAGAUUUAUCGCCUAGGGAUGAGCCCGCGUAGGAUUAGCUAGUUGGUGUGGUAAAGGCGCACCAAGGCGACGAUCCUUAGCUGGUCUGAGAGGAUGAUCAGCCACACUGGGACUGAGACACGGCCCAGACUCCUACGGGAGGCAGCAGUGGGGAAUAUUGGACAAUGGGCGAAAGCCUGAUCCAGCAAUGCCGCGUGAGUGAUGAAGGCCUUAGGGUUGUAAAGCUCUUUUACCCGGGAUGAUAAUGACAGUACCGGGAGAAUAAGCUCCGGCUAACUCCGUGCCAGCAGCCGCGGUAAUACGGAGGGAGCUAGCGUUAUUCGGAAUUACUGGGCGUAAAGCGCACGUAGGCGGCUUUGUAAGUAAGA